Notothenia coriiceps (black rockcod) is the source of this 787-nucleotide long non-coding RNA. RefSeq lists it as uncharacterized. The record is from RefSeq and is a predicted model, not a curated record. The transcript has 3 exons. NCBI's taxonomy places the organism in Eukaryota, Metazoa, Chordata, Actinopteri, Perciformes, Nototheniidae.
AGCUCCUCACCGCCUGCACCACAUGUCUAUGAACCUCUUCGUAGACUUCCGUUACAGGAGGUGCUUCUGGUGCUGUUGGUAGAUAAAUGGUGUUUGUGCUAGUUCCUGUCAACUGUUUCCUCCGCUCAGGCACCAAACGUUGGUAGAACUAUCAAACUGUCAGCUCAUAUAAAUCAGAAAUAGUCUAGAGCCACAACACUGGCCUGCCAGCGACACAGUUCCUCUGCCAUGGUUAACAACAUCAUGUCAAAGCCUCUCGGGUUAGUUCUGAUCCUCACAGCUCACAUGGUGUUCAACGGGUUUUGCUCCCAUACAGUGCUGAGCCAAGAGAAGAUCACGGGGAGUCUCGGCGGUAAUAUCACCCUUGAAUUUUCAUUUAACUUCAGUGUAACAACAGGUUUUGGAAUUUAUAAAAAAAAAAACUCAACAGACGAAGGACAAAAGAUUGCUGGGUAUUUACGUGGCAAAAAAGAAGGCAAUCUUACAGUCUACCCUAAAAAUACGUCUGUCUGUUUUGAAAUAACAAAUCUCAGUCUAAGUCAUAAAGGAAUUUACUGGGCCAGUUUGUAUGUGGACGGCAUCACGGAAAAAAGUAGAAGGAUAGAGCUGGACGUCCGAGUGACGAACAGAAGCAUGGUAACUCCAAAACCAACUAACAUCACAUUGAUUGGAGACAGUGGAAGUGCCGGAAUGUCCUCCUCUCAAUUCCUCGCUGUCCUUUUGGUUUCAUCUGUUGUGCUGUUGGCUGCAGUUCUUCCCUUGUUGAGCUGGUGUAUCUUGAGACACA